GGCUUAACACAUGCAAGUCGAGGGGCAACAGGAGUAGCAAUACUUGCUGGCGACCGGCGCAAGGGUGCGUAACGCGUGAGCAACAUGCCUACUACAGGGGGAUAAUCCAGGGAAACUUGGUCUAAUACCCCAUAAUGUUGAUUUGUGGCAUCACAAAUCAAUUAAAAUUCCGAUGGUAGUAGAUUGGCUCGCGUGACAUUAGCUAGAUGGAGAGGUAACGGCUCACCAUGGCGACGAUGUCUAGGGGUUCUGAGAGGAAGGUCCCCCACACUGGUACUGAGACACGGACCAGACUCCUACGGGAGGCAGCAGUGAGGAAUAUUGGACAAUGGAUGGAAAUCUGAUCCAGCCAUGCCGCGUGCAGGAAGACGGCCCUAUGGGUUGUAAACUGC
Molecule: ribosomal RNA, 392 nt
Filed under: uncultured organism
Description: bacterial SSU rRNA
Rfam family: Bacterial small subunit ribosomal RNA
Source: RNAcentral